UUUCUUAAACCUAAUUUACUGUUACGUGUUGGGCAAUUUCACUAUAUUUUUUUAAAAAGAUUUAUGGCACGUUUACUAACUGUGUCAAUGUCAGCAUAUUACGUAUAUCAUAUACAAUAAAAUAUAUUUUUAUUUGAGGUUUUGGAACUAAAUCAUUCUUACUGGAGUCAUGCUGCACUCAAUGGUUGAUUAAUAAUAAAAAUGAAGCGACACUGGUGGUUUUGCAAAAGAUUCUCUGGAUUGCAAUAUUUAUUUCUAAGAAAAGCAUCUACAACAUCAACUGGUUCAUCAGGAAAUACCUAUUUUAUCACAACUCCAAUAUUUUAUGUAAAUGCCUCUCCACAUAUUGGUCAUCUUCACUCUGCUGUUCUAGCUGAUGCGUUACACAGGUCGUAUAUCUUGCUUGGUAAAGAAAAAAGCAUUUUUUCUACUGGAACUGAUGAACAUGGAUUAAAG
Long non-coding RNA from Limulus polyphemus (Atlantic horseshoe crab), 456 nucleotides. RefSeq lists it as uncharacterized. NCBI's taxonomy places the organism in Eukaryota, Metazoa, Arthropoda, Merostomata, Xiphosura, Limulidae. The transcript is spliced from 3 exons. The record is from RefSeq and is a predicted model, not a curated record.